CUACGGAGGGUGCAAGCGUUAUUCGGAAUCACUGGGCGUAAAGGACGCGUAGGCGGGUUGGCAAGUCAGAUGUGAAAUCCUACAGCUUAACUGUAGAACUGCAUUUGAAACUGCUAACCUAGAGUAUGGGAGGGGGAGAUGGAAUUAGUGGUGUAGGGGUAAAAUCCGUAGAUAUCACUAGGAAUACCGAAAGCGAAGGCGAUCUCCUGGAACAUAACUGACGCUAAGGCGUGAGAGCGUGGGGAGCAAACAGGAUUAGAAACCCUAGUAGUCC
Molecule: ribosomal RNA, 274 nt
Filed under: uncultured bacterium
Lineage: Bacteria
Description: partial 16S ribosomal RNA
Rfam family: Bacterial small subunit ribosomal RNA
Source: RNAcentral